GAUGAACGCUGGCGGCGUGCCUAAUACAUGCAAGUCGAGCGAACAGACGAGGAGCUUGCUCCUCUGACGUUAGCGGCGGACGGGUGAGUAACACGUGGAUAACCUACCUAUAAGACUGGGAUAACUUCGGGAAACCGGAGCUAAUACCGGAUAACAUGUUGAACCGCAUGGUUCAACAGUGAAAGACGGUUUUGCUGUCACUUAUAGAUGGAUCCGCGUCGCAUUAGCUAGUUGGUAAGGUAACGGCUUACCAAGGCAACGAUGCGUAGCCGACCUGAGAGGGUGAUCGGCCACACUGGAACUGAGACACGGUCCAGACUCCUACGGGAGGCAGCAGUGGGGAAUCUUCCGCAAUGGGCGAAAGCCUGACGGAGCAACGCCGCGUGAGUGAAGAAGGUCUUCGGAUCGUAAAACUCUGUUAUUAGGGAAGAACAAAUGUGUAAGUAACUAUGCACGUCUUGACGGUACCUAAUCAGAAAGCCACGGCUAACUACGUG
This 497-nucleotide ribosomal RNA is filed under the name uncultured bacterium. RNAcentral's name for it is "partial 16S ribosomal RNA". It matches the Rfam family "Bacterial small subunit ribosomal RNA", at positions 28 to 507 of the family's 1533-position model. The record is from RNAcentral.